CCUCCUCAGGUAUCACCUCCUCAGGUAUCACCUCCUCAGGUCACUAUAGCAGGUAUCACCUCCUCAGGUCACUAUAGCAGGUAUCACCUCCUCAGGUAUCACUUCCUCAGGUCACUAUAGCAGGUAUCACCUCCUCAACUCACUAUAGCAGGUAUCACCUCCUCAGGUCACUAUAGCAGGUAUCACCUCCCCUCAAGUCACUAUAGCAGGUAUCACCUCCUCAGGUCACUAUAGCAGGUAUCACCUCCUCAGGUAUCACCUCCUCAGGUAUCACCUCCUCAGGUCACUAUAGCAGGUAUCACCUCCUCAGGUCACUAUAGCAGGUAUCACCUCCUCAGGUCACUAUAGCAGGUAUCACCUCCUCAGGUCACUAUAGCAGGUAUCACCUCCUCAGGUCACUAUAGCAGGCAUCACCUCCUCAAGUCACUAUAGCAGGUAUCACCUCCUCAGGUCACUAUAGCAGGUAUCACCUCCUCAAGUCACUAUAGCAGGUAUCACCUCCCCUCAGGUCACUAUAGCAGGUAUCACCUCCUCAGGUCACUAUAGCAGGUAUCACCUCCUCAGGUAUCACCUCCUCAGGUCACUAUAGCAGGUAUCACCUCCUCAGGUCACUAUAGCAGGUAUCACCUCCUCAGGUAUCACCUCCUCAGGUAUCACCUCCUCAAGUCACUAUAGCAGGUAUCACCUCCUCAGGUCACUAUAGCAGGUAUCACCUCCUCAAGUC
This is a long non-coding RNA of Gadus morhua (Atlantic cod), 724 nucleotides long. RefSeq lists it as uncharacterized. The transcript has 3 exons. NCBI's taxonomy places the organism in Eukaryota, Metazoa, Chordata, Actinopteri, Gadiformes, Gadidae. The record is from RefSeq and is a predicted model, not a curated record.